Molecule: ribosomal RNA, 1405 nt
Filed under: Limosilactobacillus fermentum
Lineage: Bacteria; Bacillati; Bacillota; Bacilli; Lactobacillales; Lactobacillaceae
Description: bacterial SSU rRNA
Rfam family: Bacterial small subunit ribosomal RNA
Source: RNAcentral
GUGCUUGCACCUGAUUGAUUUUGGUCGCCAACGAGUGGCGGACGGGUGAGUAACACGUAGGUAACCUGCCCAGAAGCGGGGGACAACAUUUGGAAACAGAUGCUAAUACCGCAUAACAGCGUUGUUCGCAUGAACAACGCUUAAAAGAUGGCUUCUCGCUAUCACUUCUGGAUGGACCUGCGGUGCAUUAGCUUGUUGGUGGGGUAACGGCCUACCAAGGCGAUGAUGCAUAGCCGAGUUGAGAGACUGAUCGGCCACAAUGGGACUGAGACACGGCCCAUACUCCUACGGGAGGCAGCAGUAGGGAAUCUUCCACAAUGGGCGCAAGCCUGAUGGAGCAACACCGCGUGAGUGAAGAAGGGUUUCGGCUCGUAAAGCUCUGUUGUUAAAGAAGAACACGUAUGAGAGUAACUGUUCAUACGUUGACGGUAUUUAACCAGAAAGUCACGGCUAACUACGUGCCAGCAGCCGCGGUAAUACGUAGGUGGCAAGCGUUAUCCGGAUUUAUUGGGCGUAAAGAGAGUGCAGGCGGUUUUCUAAGUCUGAUGUGAAAGCCUUCGGCUUAACCGGAGAAGUGCAUCGGAAACUGGAUAACUUGAGUGCAGAAGAGGGUAGUGGAACUCCAUGUGUAGCGGUGGAAUGCGUAGAUAUAUGGAAGAACACCAGUGGCGAAGGCGGCUACCUGGUCUGCAACUGACGCUGAGACUCGAAAGCAUGGGUAGCGAACAGGAUUAGAUACCCUGGUAGUCCAUGCCGUAAACGAUGAGUGCUAGGUGUUGGAGGGUUUCCGCCCUUCAGUGCCGGAGCUAACGCAUUAAGCACUCCGCCUGGGGAGUACGACCGCAAGGUUGAAACUCAAAGGAAUUGACGGGGGCCCGCACAAGCGGUGGAGCAUGUGGUUUAAUUCGAAGCUACGCGAAGAACCUUACCAGGUCUUGACAUCUUGCGCCAACCCUAGAGAUAGGGCGUUUCCUUCGGGAACGCAAUGACAGGUGGUGCAUGGUCGUCGUCAGCUCGUGUCGUGAGAUGUUGGGUUAAGUCCCGCAACGAGCGCAACCCUUGUUACUAGUUGCCAGCAUUAAGUUGGGCACUCUAGUGAGACUGCCGGUGACAAACCGGAGGAAGGUGGGGACGACGUCAGAUCAUCAUGCCCCUUAUGACCUGGGCUACACACGUGCUACAAUGGACGGUACAACGAGUCGCGAACUCGCGAGGGCAAGCAAAUCUCUUAAAACCGUUCUCAGUUCGGACUGCAGGCUGCAACUCGCCUGCACGAAGUCGGAAUCGCUAGUAAUCGCGGAUCAGCAUGCCGCGGUGAAUACGUUCCCGGGCCUUGUACACACCGCCCGUCACACCAUGAGAGUUUGUAACACCCAAAGUCGGUGGGGUAACCUUUUAGGAGCCA